Molecule: ribosomal RNA, 269 nt
Filed under: uncultured prokaryote
Description: partial 16S ribosomal RNA
Rfam family: Bacterial small subunit ribosomal RNA
Source: RNAcentral
UACGGAGGGUGCAAGCGUUAAUCGGAAUUACUGGGCGUAAAGCGCGCGUAGGCGGCCUGGUAAGUCGGAUGUGGAAGCCCCGGGCUCAACCUGGGAAUUGCAUUCGAUACUGCCAGGCUGGAGUGUGGGAGAGGAGAGUGGAAUUCCUAGUGUAGCGGUGAAAUGCGUAGAUAUUAGGAGGAACACCAGUUGCGAAGGCGGCUCUCUGGACUGUAACUGACACUGAGGCACGAAAGCGUGGGGAGCAAACAGGAUUAGAUACCCGGGUA